Molecule: ribosomal RNA, 253 nt
Filed under: uncultured bacterium
Lineage: Bacteria
Description: partial 16S ribosomal RNA
Rfam family: Bacterial small subunit ribosomal RNA
Source: RNAcentral
GACGUAGGGCGCGAGCGUUGUCCGGAUUUAUUGGGCGUAAAGAGCUCGUAGGCGGCUUGUUGCGUCGACCGUGAAAACCCGGGGCUCAACUUCGGGCUUGCGGUCGAUACGGGCGGGCUAGAGUUCGGUAGGGGAGACUGGAAUUCCUGGUGUAGCGGUGAAAUGCGCAGAUAUCGGGAGGAACACCGGUGGCGAAGGCGGCUCACUGGCUCGGUACUGACGCUGAGGUGCGAAAGCGUGGGGAGCAAACAGG